UAGUAACUGGACCAUAGGCACUA
Molecule: non-coding RNA, 23 nt
Filed under: Rattus norvegicus (Norway rat)
Lineage: Eukaryota; Metazoa; Chordata; Mammalia; Rodentia; Muridae
Source: RNAcentral